This 551-nucleotide ribosomal RNA is filed under the name uncultured bacterium. RNAcentral's name for it is "partial 16S ribosomal RNA". It matches the Rfam family "Bacterial small subunit ribosomal RNA", at positions 355 to 900 of the family's 1533-position model. The record is from RNAcentral.
UGGGGAAUUUUGGACAAUGGGCGAAAGCCUGAUCCAGCAAUGCCGCGUGUGUGAAGAAGGCCUUCGGGUUGUAAAGCACUUUUGUCCGGAAAGAAAUCCUUGGCUCUAAUACAGUCGGGGGAUGACGGUACCGGAAGAAUAAGCACCGGCUAACUACGUGCCAGCAGCCGCGGUAAUACGUAGGGUGCAAGCGUUAAUCGGAAUUACUGGGCGUAAAGCGUGCGCAGGCGGUUUGCUAAGACCGAUGUGAAAUCCCCGGGCUCAACCUGGGAACUGCAUUGGUGACUGGCAGGCUAGAGUAUGGCAGAGGGGGGUAGAAUUCCACGUGUAGCAGUGAAAUGCGUAGAGAUGUGGAGGAAUACCGAUGGCGAAGGCAGCCCCCUGGGCCAAUACUGACGCUCAUGCACGAAAGCGUGGGGAGCAAACAGGAUUAGAUACCCUGGUAGUCCACGCCCUAAACGAUGUCAACUAGUUGUUGGGGAUUCAUUUCCUUAGUAACGUAGCUAACGCGUGAAGUUGACCGCCUGGGGAGUACGUCGCAAGAUUAAAAC